RNAcentral lists this ribosomal RNA (743 nucleotides) under Toxascaris leonina. RNAcentral's name for it is "eukaryotic LSU rRNA". It matches the Rfam family "Eukaryotic large subunit ribosomal RNA", at positions 69 to 647 of the family's 3401-position model. The record is from RNAcentral. Lineage: Eukaryota; Metazoa; Nematoda; Chromadorea; Rhabditida; Ascarididae.
CGAGGAUUCCCUUAGUAACUGCGAGUGAAUGGGGAAAAGCCCAGCGCUGAAUCCUUCAGCCACUGGCUGCUAGGAAUUGUAGCGUAUAGGUGCGGCUGUCCGCUUGUUUCGCGCACCCAAAGUCCCCUUGAGCGGGGCUAUAGUCCAAAGAAGGUGCUAGACCUGUACGGGUGGCGAAGCGAACGGUUGGUUGCUCCUUGGAGUCGGGUUGCCUGGGAUCGCAGCCCAAAGUUGGUGGUAGAUCUCAUCUAAGGCUAAAUAUGGCCACGAAACCGAUAGCAAACAAGUACCGUGAGGGAAAGUUGCAAAGAACUUUGAAGAGAGAGUUCAAGAGGGCGUGAAACCGCUGAGAUUGAAACGGAUAGAGUUGACGGAACUCAGCUGCAUUCAUCCGAUCGGCCAAAUGGCCCGAUAGUGUUCGCAUCCUCGAUGAGGGCAACAUUCUCGGUAACUAUUCGGUAAUUGAUCGGUGUAUUUGCGGCUGGUAUGCGCUGAGAGCUUUGUGAUCGCGUGUUAACGGGUAUGCAGUGGACCAUUCCUUCCGGGCGUGGAACCCUUCAUACCUUUAGGCAUGUCGGUUAUAAAGUUUUGAACGUGGCGUCUCCGCUAUUGUGCGUCGGCUUAUGCGUGCUAUUGUGAUUAUCGAGUAUUCGCAUGCGAAUAUUUGUAAUUGGCGAUGGCGCGACAAAAGUGCGGACGCGUUGAGACGUACAUCUCGGUGUGAACGUUGACCACCUAUCCGA